Long non-coding RNA from Herpailurus yagouaroundi (jaguarundi), 1299 nucleotides. RefSeq lists it as uncharacterized. NCBI's taxonomy places the organism in Eukaryota, Metazoa, Chordata, Mammalia, Carnivora, Felidae. The record is from RefSeq and is a predicted model, not a curated record. The transcript is spliced from 2 exons.
GUUCUCACCUCUCCCCUUCCGUUGGCAGCGACGGCGCGGGCAGGAGCGGCACCUACGUCCUGAUCGACAUGGUUCUCAACAAGAUGGCCAAAGGAAUGAAUCGCAUGGGGACCAAAGAACGCCUUUCCCAAGCCUUGCCGAGUGCGCCACGCUGACACCGGAGCCCCUGGAUCCGGACGGCAGGGCCCGGGAGCGCGUGCGGCCCGGAGCGGAGCCCCGCGCGUUCACACGGGGCCCUCAGGGAUUAAGGCCCUCGUCCUCUUCAGGGCCCUUGGAGAAUGAGCGAGGCGCGAUUCACGUGCUUUCUCCACCGUCUGGUUUGUUAGCAGGCGGACGACAAUGCCGUUUGGAAUCCAAGCGAGCGGCCCCCGGCCCCCCGCCAGACCCGUAAACACCUUCGUCGCGUCCCUGCCGCCGCUGCCAGGGCGCUUCCAGCUCCGUCCGUCCGUCCGUCCGUCCCGCAUCAGCAUAGCCCGGGGAGCGCGCUCCUCCCGCUCGGGAGACCUCGGCUCGCGUGCAGCCGAGACGUUUUCCAAAGCUGUGCCUUCUCCGUGCGUCAGUGACGUCUCGCCCACGUUUGGGUUUUUUUCUUGCGAUCUUUUAGAGGAAUUGUAAGGCGGACGGUGCCUCCCCACGGCCGUAUUUGCCGGGUCACCGUGAGGUGGUGGCAGCCGGCUGUGUCACUCGUGCGGGGCCGCGACCGACCCCACCCCCCGAGCGCCCCGCUGCACGGCCCUGAGUGAACACCACCGCCCGCCCGCCGCGCCCGCGUGUGUGUGGGCAGGCCCGAGUGCGGCACACUGUGCAGGUGUGGACGACUCUUAACUCUUCGGUGUGUGUCCCUCUGGGCCUCGUGUGUGAGCACACACCCUUUGCGUUCAUCCGGCCAGUGACAACUACGUUCUCCCGAAAGCGAUACGUAAUCCGUGUGGGAAACACACAGAGUGUUUUUUAAAAGAUCUGUCCCCAACUUUGUUUCUUACGUAUUGACACUGAAAGUGGUCAUCCCACAACGGCCCUGCGGACUUAACACUUUCAUUACCAUUUGUCAGGUAAAGACAUUUGGGCUUCCCCCACCCGAGGUCACGCAGCCGCCACAUGACCUAGCCGGGAGGUGAACCCAGGCUCGUCUGACAGCCCGUGUCCUUGAUAACGAUGCCCUAUGGUUGCCUCUUCCCUGACAACAAACAGACCCGCCCCUUUUUUAAAGUCUGCCCUGAAUUGUCUGGUAUAAGGAAUACACCCGUUACAAUGGCUGUUAUUUAAAAAAAAAAAAAAAAAAAAGGUUUUCCCCUACGU